CUCGACACCCAGGCUGCGAGCGAGCCGAUCGACAACGUCGAUACCCGCCGCAUAAACGCUUCGCUCGAGUGCGCUGAUAUAAGUGCGGUCAAUUUCAGCACGAUGAGCCAAUUCCUCCUGUGACAAACCACGGGCCUGCCGGAGCUUCCGCAAAUUGAUUGCAAGUAUCUCGCGUAUAUCCAUACGCGAGAGGGCAUGUCCUUGAAGAGUAUUUCACCACGGAGUAUUUUCGACAAAACGCGAUCCGGACGGC
Molecule: unclassified non-coding RNA, 253 nt
Filed under: Hevea brasiliensis (rubber tree)
Lineage: Eukaryota; Viridiplantae; Streptophyta; Magnoliopsida; Malpighiales; Euphorbiaceae
Source: RNAcentral